AUAUCAAUAAGCGGAGGAAAAGAAACUAACAAGGAUUCCCCUAGUAACUGCGAGUGAAGCGGGAAAAGCUCAAAUUUAAAAUCUGUCAGUCUUUGACUGUCCGAGUUGUAAUCUAGAGAAGUGUUAUCCGCGCUGGACCGUGUACAAGUCUCCUGGAAUGGAGCAUCAUGGAGGGUGAGAAUCCCGUCUUUGACAUGGACUGCCAGGGCUUUGUGAUGCGCUCUCAAAGAGUCGAGUUGUUUGGGAAUGCAGCUCAAAAUGGGUGGUAAAUUCCAUCUAAAGCUAAAUAUUGGCGAGAGACCGAUAGCGAACAAGUACCGUGAGGGAAAGAUGAAAAGAACUUUGGAAAGAGAGUUAAACAGUACGUGAAAUUGCUGAAAGGGAAACGCUUGAAGUCAGUCGCGUUGUCCAGGGAUCAACCUUGCUUUUGCUUGGUGUACUUUCUGGUUGACGGGUCAGCAUCAAUUUUGACUAUUGGAAAAAGAUUAGGGGAAUGUGGCAUCUUCGGAUGUGUUAUAGCCCUUGGUUGCAUACAAUGGUUGGGAUUGAGGAACUCAGCACGCCGCAAGGCCGGGUUUUAACCACGUACGUGCUUAGGAUGCUGGCAUAAUGGCUUUAAUYGACCCGUCUUGAAACACGGACCAAGGAGUCUAACAUGCCUGCGAGUGUUUGGGUGGAAAACUCGAGCGCGCAAUGAAAGUGAAAGUUGAGAUCCCUGUCGUGGGGAGCAUCGACGCCCGGACCAGACCUUUUGUGACGGAUCCGCGGUAGAGCAUGUAUGUUGGGACCCGAAAGAUGGUGAACUAUGCCUGAAUAGGGUGAAGCCAGAGGAAACUCUGGUGGAGGCUCGUAGCGAUUCUGACGUGCAAAUCGAUCGUCAAAUUUGGGUAUAGGGGCGAAAGACUAAUCGAACCAUCUAGUAGCUGGUCUGC
Molecule: ribosomal RNA, 932 nt
Filed under: Cortinarius viscoviridis
Lineage: Eukaryota; Fungi; Basidiomycota; Agaricomycetes; Agaricales; Cortinariaceae
Description: LSU rRNA
Rfam family: Eukaryotic large subunit ribosomal RNA
Source: RNAcentral